RNAcentral lists this ribosomal RNA (253 nucleotides) under uncultured bacterium. RNAcentral's name for it is "partial 16S ribosomal RNA". It matches the Rfam family "Bacterial small subunit ribosomal RNA", at positions 524 to 776 of the family's 1533-position model. The record is from RNAcentral.
UACGGAGGGGACUAGCGUUGUUCGGAAUUACUGGGCGUAAAGCGCACGUAGGCGGAUUUGUAAGUCAGGGGUGAAAUCCCGGGGCUCAACCUCGGAACUGCCUUUGAUACUGCAAAUCUCGAGUCCGGAAGAGGUGAGUGGAAUUCCUAGUGUAGAGGUGAAAUUCGUAGAUAUUAGGAAGAACACCAGUGGCGAAGGCGGCGAUCUGGGAAGAUACUGACGCUGAGGUGCGAAAGCGUGGGGAGCAAACAGG